RNAcentral lists this transfer RNA (68 nucleotides) under Selenophorus alternans. RNAcentral describes it as "tRNA-Asn". RNAcentral also lists the same sequence under 1 other name. The record is from RNAcentral. Lineage: Eukaryota; Metazoa; Arthropoda; Insecta; Coleoptera; Carabidae.
UUAGCUGAAGCCAAAAGAGAGGCAUAUCACUGUUAAUGAUCCCAUUGAAUAAUAUAAUUCCAGUUAAA